UAUCUUCCUAUCGAUUUGAUUUCUUUCCUCUCUUUUCAAUUCCUUAUCUUUUUUUAAUCUAUUCUUUACACCCACACAGCAUCUGUUCCAUUCACCCCGGUAUAUUCCUUUGUUUCAUGUGCUUUUAAGCAGUUUUAAGUAUAUUCCAGGUCCUAUCCGUAAUGGAAAUUGUCUUUUGGCACAACAUCUUCGUCAGAUUUUCAACGCCACUGCAGUAUGAUUUGCUGGGGAAUCUUUUUUCUGAAAGAACAGGAAGAAUGAAGCUUUAAUUAGUUUUUAAUCCUUAAUAAAAACAAACAAAUAAUGCUGACAGAUAAAACGUUUAUUUUACAUAUAGCGAUUCUACUCUCUGCGCAGUUUGUUUUUGGAAGUAAUUAUUACGAUCUGUUGGGCGUUUCGAAAUCGGCCACGCAUCAGGAAAUCCGAAAAGCGUAUAAAAAGCUCGCUUUAAUACUUCACCCCGACAAAAAUUCAGAUGACAAGAAUGCGCAAGAGAAAUUCUUGAAAAUAACACGAGCUUAUGAAGUAUUAAAGGACGAAGCGAAACGAAAGCAUUACGAUUUGCAUGGCGACGAUGUGCCUUAUACUCACACAAAAUACCAAAGUUAUUAUUAUUACGAGCACCAAUUUGGGUUGUACGACGAUGAUCCACAUGUCAUCACACUAUCUGGGAUUUCAGAUUUCGAAAACUCGGUGGAAAAUAUGGAGUCUAGUCAAUGGUUUAUAGUAUUUUAUUCGCCCCUUUGUAUGAGUUGUCACCAUGCGGCACCCAUGUGGUCUAAACUGGCGGAAGAAAUGAACGGUGCUUUGUCAUUCGGUGCUGUUAAUUGUGAAGAUGACUGGCAGAUAUGCCGGCACAAAGCUGACAUCAAUGCUUACCCAACUUAUGUUCUCUUUCCUUCGAGAACAACUUUGGUCGGUUCCAAAAACAAAGAAGAGCUGAGAAAUUUUAUUAUUGGAAGAUUAACGACCGAUACUGUUAACGUUUGGACUCAGAAUGACUGGGACCAAAUCAAGGAGAAACACAACAGUUGGCUCUUGAUUCUUAAAAGUAACGAUCACGACAAAGAUAACCAAAAAAUUGUAUCAGCAAUGAUGAAAGGUCUUAUCGGUGUUGCUCUAAUUCACUGCUCACACAUGCCGUGUUCCGAAUUUAGAAACGAUGAGAACAACGGUUAUGCUUAUUUGGUGAAAGAGCAUGAUACAUGGAGUGUGAACGCAUUAGAAAACGGAGAGCCGCAGGAAAUCGCUAAUCAAAUUUUAACCCUUUUACCUUCUAUAGAAAACUACGAUGAAAAUAUGUUGGAGGAGUAUAUGAAUGAUUUAGAAAAUGGGCUUCAAACUCCUCUUUUAAUUUAUUUCCACAUGGGACCGUCGACGAAACUAGACACGGAGAUUAAAAAAUUAACGGCGACUUUACCAAAUUUUAAAAUCGGCCGUGUAAAUUGCGGUAGGUACGUUAAUCUUUGUUCCUCGCUCAGUAUUUCUCGUUAUCCACUUUUCGGCCUGUUUAAACCGGGUGGUGGGAAAGAGUUCUACCACGGCUCGCUCACGAUUCACGGUGUCUCGGCGUUCGCGAAGGAAAGUUCGCAAGCCGUCAACUUCUGGGAAUGCGGCCCUGAAGAGCUUAAAGAGAAGAUCAAAGAAGGGCCGACGCUCGUGGACUUUUAUGCGCCUUGGUGUCCUCCUUGUAUCAAACUGCUUCCAGAGCUCAGAAAAGCCUCCCUGAGUUUUAUAUCAUCUGUGAUAACAUUCGCGACAGUCGACUGUACGAUUCAUUCCGACUUGUGCAGAGAGCAUAGUGUGACUUCUUAUCCUACAACGCUACUUUUCAACGUAACAAGAAAACCGUUGAAAAUGGGUAGCCGGACGGCAAGCUCAAUAAAAGAAUUCGUCGAAGACACAAUAUCUCCUAAAGUCAUAGAACUAAACGAAGAGACAUUUUAUGAAACAGUUGGAAAGAAAAAAAUUAACGAAUUGUGGGUUGUGGAUUUUUACAUGCCAUGGUGUGGUCCAUGCCAACAGAUGGAACCACAAUACAGAAAACUUGCUAAGAUGAUGUCAGAUAUCAAAAACGUAAAAAUUUCCAAAGUGAAUUGUGAAGAGGAACAAGCACUUUGCACACGGCAGAGAGUCCAACAUUACCCACAUAUUAGGCUUUAUCCGAUGCAUUCUGAAGGGAUGUUAACUGUCAUAUUGCAAUGGAUUCAGUAUUUGAUCUUCAAGCCUCAACAGCUUGUUCAGGCCGUUAAAUAGCCGAGAAAUCUGUUCAGAAUUAAUAAAUUAUUGUGGAAUUAAGUGAUCAAAAUUGUUCAAUAGAAAGAAAAAAAAAGAAAGAUUUACUCUGGAUAUCAGAGAGACGCUCAAAGUUUGAGGCGGUGGAUAUACAAUUAUUUGCCGUCUUCCGUGAA
RNAcentral lists this unclassified non-coding RNA (2411 nucleotides) under Cimex lectularius (bed bug). RNAcentral's name for it is "dnaJ homolog subfamily C member 10-like, transcript variant X1". Lineage: Eukaryota; Metazoa; Arthropoda; Insecta; Hemiptera; Cimicidae. The record is from RNAcentral.